UCAUCCUGUGGAGGAGUCUAUAGGGGGGUCUGUAUCCAGGAUCAGCAAUGUUUAGGAAGAUGGGAAGGUUGGAGAAGGAAAACACAAAUGAAAAGAGCCAAAGAGAACGGUGCUAUGAUCCAGAUCUGUAGCAAAGGGAUGCUGGCCCUUGAUGAACUCAGGGACAUGAGCUACCUGCUUGAGACUUUUCACUCUAGGCUGCUGCCCAAUGAUGCACCUUGUCCCCAAGCAUCAUUCUCCCAGACCAGGUCACUGCCCAGUGCACUGCCCUUCCUGUACCCACUCCAACUCCACACACCACUCAGCAACAUUCUUCUUUCCCUGAUCAUCAAAUAUGGUGGCCAUAGCUUCAUCCUGGCCCUGGCCCUCUGCCUAGCUGUGACUGGGGAGCUGGGGAGCUGGAGCCAUGGUCCUGGGGGUCCUUGAAUAGAUGCCUUUGAGCUUUUAGCACUGGAAGAGGAGGCAGCUGAGCCCAGAGGAUAAUACAGCCAAUGGUCAUGAUAUUUCUUGGACUUUGAACCGUCCAAAUUACAAGGUUCUACUGGGCACCACUGCUCAAGUGGAUUCCUCCACCUCCUGUCCUCUCCAACCAGCUCUUCAUUGACCUACACAUUGAGUAUGAAUAAAAUCUCCUGAAAACACGCAUUCAAUCUUGCUAGACACCAGCCCAAAAAUCUUUAUGGCUCCCUCCUUACCUUAUCUGCCCCAUUAGGAGUAAGCAUACAUCUACAACUAGAUUCAUUCUUUACCUCCAAUGCUUCUUUGUAUGAUUACACCCAUCAGCAUCUGGCUGAGGCCCCACGGCACAGAGACGGAUGAACCAUGGACUCUACACUUAAUGAGCCACAGUUUGAGGGAUGGAAACACUACACACACCCUGGACCUGGCCAUGCUUUACUUUUCUUUG
Fukomys damarensis (Damara mole-rat) is the source of this 907-nucleotide long non-coding RNA. RefSeq lists it as uncharacterized. The record is from RefSeq and is a predicted model, not a curated record. The transcript is spliced from 3 exons. Lineage: Eukaryota; Metazoa; Chordata; Mammalia; Rodentia; Bathyergidae.